Molecule: long non-coding RNA, 845 nt
Organism: Nylanderia fulva
Lineage: Eukaryota; Metazoa; Arthropoda; Insecta; Hymenoptera; Formicidae
Source: RefSeq, a predicted model, not a curated record
GUUAGUUAUCGACGUGAUUUCGUAUUACAAAGUUGUGUAUGGACAUAUAUGUUUCAUUUCUAAUCAACAAUAAGUGAAUGUUUUGUACGUAGAUCGUGCCGAAAUUCGCAAGUGACGCAAGUGCAUUUUACUUUUAUACGUCAUUUCUUCUAAGAAAAAAUAAUCAAUAUCAAAAUCCCAGAAUGACGUAAUAUAUUUUAUUUUCUUCGCAACUUGUAAAUAACCGAGACUCCACUAUAUAGAACUCUAUAAAUUAUCAACGUGUUGACCACAUCAUAAAUCAUUAAUAAGCAUCAAAUGAUACUGUAAAUCUAUCAAAACCAUUGGACAUUUCAACCACAGCAUAGUCAUAAAAAAACGUUGUCUACAAACUGCAUAAUAUUAUGCAAAGGCAAUAUGUAUAUUAAUGGAUGACGAUUGUUUUUCCCGUCGAGUUGGGCAAAGUUGCGGUUACAAAUUGUUACGUAUGAAAACGAAACAAUAUCCUAGAAAUAUAGAUGCAUCGAAUCCAAGGCUGUAAUUAACAACACAUAAUGUCAUUGUUUAAUUCGUCAAUAGAGCAGUUUUUCGUAAUUAUUAUGCAGAAUAAUUCAGUUCCUCGAGAAGAUCGUAUAUUACAUUGUUUGUAUGACGCAUUGGAUUCCAAGGCGAUCGACUUAAUCGCUGUUUAUGCGCGAAAUUUGGAGCACGUGCUUUCGCUUAGAGGUACUAGUUACGUCAACUUUCUCGUGCUAAACGACGAGUUAGACAAGGAUGAGUCAUAAAAUAAUAAACGAAUUACAAUGAUCGACAGGGUCAUAAUUGCGUAAAUUGAUCCAUUAAAUCUAUAGACAAGAAGAUUAGAA